GAUGAACGCUAGCGGCAGGCCUAAUACAUGCAAGUCGUACGGUAACAGGCCUUUCGGGGCGCUGACGAGUGGCGCACGGGUGCGUAACGCGUAUGCAACCUGCCCGCAACAGGGGCAUAGCCCGGGGAAACCCGGAUUAAUACCCCAUAAAGCAGGGACACCGCAUGGUGAUAUUUGCUAAAGAUUUAUCGGUUGCGGAUGGGCAUGCGUCCAAUUAGCUAGAUGGCGGGGUAACGGCCCACCAUGGCGAUGAUUGGUAGGGGGCCUGAGAGGGUUGUCCCCCACACUGGUACUGAGACACGGACCAGACUCCUACGGGAGGCAGCAGUAGGGAAUAUUGGGCAAUGGAGGAAACUCUGACCCAGCCAUGCCG
This 373-nucleotide ribosomal RNA is filed under the name uncultured bacterium. RNAcentral's name for it is "bacterial SSU rRNA". It matches the Rfam family "Bacterial small subunit ribosomal RNA", at positions 28 to 399 of the family's 1533-position model. The record is from RNAcentral.